Molecule: ribosomal RNA, 3223 nt
Filed under: Triticum aestivum (bread wheat)
Lineage: Eukaryota; Viridiplantae; Streptophyta; Magnoliopsida; Poales; Poaceae
Description: partial small subunit ribosomal RNA
Source: RNAcentral
AUGGACGAAGCCCAGGCAGUCGUGUGUCGCAGGCGCCCUCUACGUGGCGCGGCCUCCGCCUCGCGUUCCGGCGCUCCACCGCCGCAUGCGGCGCGGACAGCACAAACAAAGCAUCUCCACCCGCACUCCCCACCGCGGCGAUGGCGAUGCUGCCCUCCUAGACCGCUCCCAAAUUCUCCGCCCGCAGCCCAACCAGAGAGCCAGGCCAUAGCCGCCGGCGCCGCUGACGGGAUAGAAUGCUCUGGAGGGAUCAGUGAGAUGAGUGAGGGGGAAGAAUUGUCUGACAGCUGCUGUGCAGAUAAGUUGAAUAAAGAGGAAGCGGAUAUUUGCCCCACAAGAUGCUCCAACGAUGGUUUGCACAGUCUGGCUUCAAAAAAAGGCAGCCUGCAAAGUAUUUCGGAAAAACAGGUCUACUGUGCAACCGCUGUCCAUAAUGAGAGAUCUUGGGCAGAUAAUACCUGGCGAGCUCGAUUAGUAAAAGCAAUUAGUCAGAGGGACUAUGUCUUGCCAAACAAUGCAGUGAAUGCACAGUCACCUUCAUCCUUUGGGAGUUUCAGUAAUACAAAAAAGGUCCCAGGCAAGUUGGCAGGUUUUCUAGAUAACCAAAGUGAUAAGCACCAAGAUCUGGUUAUGCAGGACAACUGUAAUGGUAAUCAGGAAGAUCAGGUUAUGCAGGAAAACUGUAAUGGUGAUCACCAAGACCAGGUUAUGCAGGAGCACCAUAAGGAUGGGCCUAUUCUUGUCAAAUGUCAGUCAGCAUCUGGUGUUAAUCCUGUUUCAAAAUGUGAUUCGGCAUCCGGUGUUAAUUCUGUUGCAAGAUAUGAGUCAACACCAGAUGUUAAUCCUGCAAAGCUUGAGAAGGGCAAAGAAAAGGUAAUGCACGACCAGAGCAAUUAUGUUAGCAACACAAAAGAGGGUGAUGAUAGCAAUGAGAGUAUGGAGAGUUGUCCUAGGAUGAAAGCUCCAAAGCGAGAGUAUGCUCAAUACUCAACAGCGGAGAUGUCUUCUCGGAAUAAAAGAUAUAGGAGGGAAUACAAUGAAAGUUAUUGCUCAGGAUUGUUGAACAGAAAUGGCAGCUCUUUCUUUAACUGGAUGUCUUCUCUGACUAAUGGAUCAACCGUGUUUGAUAAAACUACCAAUCAGAAGUUGUCAGAGACUACUGGACAUGAACUUGCAGGACAUUCUCUGCCACUAGAAAAUAACAGUAGCAAUCGUCUGCAGUCUGUUGGCUUCAAUUCUCUUUUUCAAUCUCUUUAUAGUCACAAUGUUAUGAUAACUUCAAGAGAUACCCCUCAUCAAUCAGAAAUCAAUUGCACCGAGCGUGAAGCCGACAGGCUAUCGCUGGCUUUGAAUGGUAGCAAUUCUAUGCUUGACAAGGAAAUUAGCACAGGCAGAGAAACUCUUGAUGUGGCUGUUGGGACCUUAGCUGCUGACAGCCUUCAAAUGGAGUCACCUGGUGGUAAAUGGAAUUUUAGAGAUCAAAGUGGAGUUUUCCCUUUGAGAGCCGGAAGAAACUUGAAGAUGCCUAACUCCAGUAAGUCAUGUUCUAAAACUCUUGAAGAAAAACAAAAUGAGUGCCAUGCGAGCCCUUUGAAUGCUGCAAUGGGAAAUAAAGGUGGAAUCACAGAAAGCUUGUGGGUAAGUCGGCUUUUACCAAAAACAUCAAUGAAAUUGAUGGAUGCAACUCCGUGCAAUGUAAAUAGUGAUUUUUGUGCUGUCAAUCCAAAGGGUGCAGGUGAUAAGCUGUAUCCUUCAUCUCAACAGAAUGUUAAUGUGGAGAAGGAAUUCAACAGUUCACAAUACUUCACUAGCACAGGAAGUGACAAUGAGACAACAAGUAGCAAAUGCCCGGUGAUUCCUCCAGAGCAACAUAAGCAGUCUGAAACAAUGGCUUCCAUUCUUGCAAAGAGAUUGGAUGCGCUUCGACAUGCGAAGACCUCUGCAAUUAGGUUGGCUAUCUCCAGUGGAAUAUCUAAAGACCAUAAUCACAGAAAGAGUCCUUUUUUUAUUAAUUACAGCAGCCAUGAUGGACUAGAGACAGGACAAGGAACUCAAAAAUCUUCGAGUGGUGGUGGAAGGCUAGUUUUGUGGUCUGGUGACAAAGGAAAGGAACAAUUAUAUCCUCUCAGUGAUGAGGAAUUAAGAGGAAACAUGUUGGCAAGAGGUGAACAUCAGCAAUGUGGAGGGAGCAUGACUGGAAAGGCUGUAGCUCCUCAUGAUAAUUUAGAAGCAAACACAUCUGCUGAAUAUGUUGAUAGAAGAGGAGUACAAAUAAAGGAAGUGGGUUCAAAUUCCAUGGAGAGUCUGCCACAUAACAAGCAAAUUGUACCUUAUAAUAUUAUUACAAGUGACAUUGAUCAAUCAAGUGUUGUUUUUGGAGCCUUGCAGAGGCUUCGUUUGUCUCGAUCAGACAUCAUAAGAUGGUUGACGUCACCAAUAAUGCACACUACCUUGGAUGGCUUUUUCUUGCGUCUACGAUUAGGUAAAUGGGAGGAAGCAUUGGGUGGCACAGGAUACCAUGUCGCUCGGAUAAAUGGAGCAUUGGAUAGAAAUCGCCUCUCUGUAACGAUCCGGAAUUCAACUUGCCAAGUAGAUUCUCGCUUUGUAUCCAACCAUGGCUUCCAUGAGGAUGAGCUCAAGGCGUGGUGGUCUGCUGCCAUGAAGGGUGGCUGGAAACUACCGUCGAAAGAAGAACUUAGCAAGAAACUAAGAGAAAGAGAGCUACUUCAUUUCGGAAACGGAACAGGUCAGCCGGACAACACCUGAUGGCAGUACCCAAAACAUGGAAGAUUUCGGUCUUUACCGCCUUUCAUCCAGAAACGCCAGCGAUGCAAGCAUGAUUGUUGGUGUUGGCUUGUCUGGUUAAGUUUUGUGCUGACACUGCUAUUCUCACGAGGCUUGGUGUAGUGAUGAUAGACCCACCAUCCUUGGUAUAUUGAGAGAUUGAGGUUGUACCAAUACACGAUUCUAUUUUGCGAUGGGAUUGGCUAUUGUGUGAGAAUCCUAUCUGUAAAUAGGAGGCUGCUGCCAGAAUAGUACAAAAUGUACAACUGUUGACUAUACUUAGAAUAAGAUGGAUGUUCAUUGCUUGCGGGAUUCGGUUCGUGAGGCAUACUGUAUGUACUAAACACUCGGUCCGGAUCCUGUGAGUGGUGAGUUCAUCACCCAGCAUUUUUUUAGGGAAAGAUUGCAAUUAUAUUAAAACAUCAUUUGGUCAUUACAA